AAAAAGAUAAGCUAAGUUUAAGCUAAUGGACUCAUAAUCCAUCUAUGGGCCUAUGGCCCUCUUUUUA
Molecule: transfer RNA, 67 nt
Filed under: Clibanarius infraspinatus
Lineage: Eukaryota; Metazoa; Arthropoda; Malacostraca; Decapoda; Diogenidae
Description: tRNA-Met
Source: RNAcentral